Arachis stenosperma is the source of this 803-nucleotide long non-coding RNA. RefSeq lists it as uncharacterized. The transcript has 4 exons. Lineage: Eukaryota; Viridiplantae; Streptophyta; Magnoliopsida; Fabales; Fabaceae. The record is from RefSeq and is a predicted model, not a curated record.
UCCAACUCCUUUUCCCAAAAAAAAAAAUCCCAACUCUCUGUCAUGUUACCUUCAAUUCAAAAGAAGACAUUAAGAAAUGUCUUGAUCUCAGUGAUAAAAUUCGAAGCCACUACUCCCCACUAUCCUUUAUUCAUAGUAAUUUCGUUAUCAAGUCUUUCACCGAGUGGUGGGACAGCUAUUAUUCUCGAUAUAAUCGCUCUAUGGAUGAUGUUAUGAAGAGGUCGAUAAAAACCUUUCCUAGUACUUCUGAAGUACUCCCUCUAAAAGCUCCGAAAAGAAAAGCGGAAACAUCGAGACAACAUAAACAAAAAAUGUAGAAAACUUCCACCACAGUUUUAACGGCAAGAAAGAAAGAAUCUUCUACUGAAGAAUCAUCUGAUAAAAGUGCCAAACUUUCUCCAGAGUAGACUUCCUCUCAUUCGAAUGAUUCCUCUUCUGCUUCUAGCAGUUCUGAAUCGAGUAGCACGUCGAGAAGCUCGACUCGCUCCCAACAUUCUGAACCCGAAAAGCCGCAAAGAUUAAUGCACCCUUUCAACAACCUCAUUCCACCUCAAUGGCAAAGGUUACCUCUGGUAGAGAAGGGGAGCGACCUUCGAGCUCAUCACCCGAUGGUUUUACAUGUACACUUCUUAUGACAAAGAAAGGGUGUGUCUUCAAUUUAAAUUAAAGGAGUUAUUAGAGCCUUAUCUUUGAAGACUUGGAAUGCCAAGUAUUUGUUGUUUGUUUUUUUUAGACAUAGUACUUCUAAAACUAUCCUCUUGUUAUUUAUAUUUCUUUACCUAUAUUAAACAUUAUUCUCCUAA